AGUGAACGCUGGCGGUAGGCCUAACACAUGCAAGUCGAACGGCAGCACAGUAAGAGUUUGCCCUUACGGGUGGCGAGUGGCGGACGGGUGAGGAAUACAUCGGAAUCUAAUUUUUCGUGGGGGACAACGUAGGGAAACUUACGCUAAUACCGCAUAUGACCUACGGGUGAAAGCAGGAGUUCUUCGCACCUUGCGCGAUUCAAUGAGCCGAUGUCGGAUUAGCUAGUUGGCGGGGUAAAGGCCCACCAAGGCGACGAUCCGUAGCUGGUCUGAGAGGAUGAUCGGCCACACUGGAACUGAGACACGGUCCAGACUCCUACGGGAGGCAGCAGUGGGGAAUAUUGGGCAAUGGGCGCAAGCCUGAUCCAGCCAUACCGCGUGAGUGAAGAAGGCCUUCGGAUUGUAAAGCCCUUUUGUUAGGGAAGAAAAGCUGCGUAUUAAUCCCCGGCCGUUCUGACGGUACCCAAAGAAUAAGCACCGGCUAACUUCGUG
This 492-nucleotide ribosomal RNA is filed under the name uncultured bacterium. Its description in RNAcentral is "partial 16S ribosomal RNA". It matches the Rfam family "Bacterial small subunit ribosomal RNA", at positions 29 to 507 of the family's 1533-position model. The record is from RNAcentral.